GCAAGGGGCAGGGACGAGAUCUGCUUGUCUCUGAAAAUAGCACAGGGGGGAACACGAGAGUGUGGUUCGCCUGGUGCUGGAAAAACACCCGUUGUGGUUGUGCUGGGCAACAGUGAUUGCAACAUCGACCGUCCUGUUGCUACAUCUAAGAUGACCAAUGUCUCACUGCCUGGUUCAGAGGAGCAGCAUGGAUCUGAGGGAGACUCAGUAGGAAAAAUUAUACCUGUUGAUCUUCUAUACGUAAACAAAUAAACCCUGGACUAAUGGAGGAUCUGAGGCACAAGAUUGAUGUCAUGUCACAGACAAUAUGCCCAGGUUUACGGACUCCAUCUGAUGAGGACUUAAAGGCCCAGAAUAAUGGGAAAGUGGAGAAAAUGCAGAUGAAGAGAGAAAUCUCCCUCAUAAAUGGAAUCUGCCUAAUUGUUGGCAACAUGAUUGGCUCUGGGAUCUUUAUCUCACCGAAGGGUGUACUCAUGCACAGUGCCUCUUAUGGCCUGUCGUUGCUGAUUUGGGCUUUUGCAGGCAUCUUCUCAGUGUUUGGAGCUUUGUGCUAUGCAGAACUUGGCACCACCAUCACCAAGUCUGGAGCCAGCUAUGCCUACAUCCUGGAGGCGUUCGGAGGCUUCCUUGCAUUUAUCCGUCUGUGGACGUCCAUCCUGUUGAUCGAGCCAGCCAGCCAGGCUGUGAUUUCACUGACCUUCGCCAACUACCUGGUGGAGGCUUUCUACCCCACCUGUCAACCGCCAUAUGAUGCUGUCCGGCUUAUCGCUGCAGCCUGCCUCUGUAUGCUCAUCUUCAUUAACUGUGCCUAUGUGAAGUGGGGGACUCUGGUCCAGGACAUUUUCACUUACGCCAAACUCAUGGCGCUCUGCCUCAUCAUUAUUGUAGGAAUAAUGAAAAUAUCUACUGGAGGAUCAAAGAGCUUCGAUAGUCCGUUUGAGGGCUCCUCCACAGAUCCCGGAGCCAUUGCUUUGGCCCUCUACUCAGCUUUGUUCUCCUUCUCCGGCUGGGAUACACUCAACUUUGUCACUGAGGAGAUUCGGAAUCCAGAGAGGAAUCUGCCCCUGGCCAUUGCCAUUUCUAUGCCCAUAGUGACCAUCAUCUACCUGCUGACCAACGUGGCGUAUUAUGUGGUUCUGGAUAUGCCAUCAUUGCUGGCCAGUGACGCCGUUGCUGUGACCUUUGGGAAUGCAGCCCUGGGGCCGUUCAGGUGGAUCAUGCCUGUUUCAGUGGCCAUGUCCUGCUACGGAGGACUCAAUGCUUCUGUCAUUGCUGCCUCACGGCUGUUUUUCGUUGGAGCUAGAGAGGGCCACCUCCCAAACAGUCUGAGUCUGAUUCACCUGCGGCGCUACACACCAAUACCUGCACUGCUCUUCAAUGGGUUAAUGGGUCUGAUCUUCCUGUGUGUGGAGGACGUGUUCCAGCUCAUCAACUAUUUCAGCUUCAGUUACUGGCUCUACGUGGGUCUGUCUGUGGCCGGCCUUAUCUACCUGCGCAUCACUCAGCCAGACAGACAUAGGCCUGUGAAGUUGAGCUUGUUCUUCCCCUUCAUCUACUGUCUGUGUAGCCUGUUCUUAGUCAUCGUCCCUCUGUACGGAGACACCAUCAAUUCUCUCAUAGGAAUUGGCAUUGCACUGUCUGGGGUGCCGGUCUACUACGUCGCCAUUUACCUGCCUGACGAAAGGAGGCCCAAAUUCAUACGCAAGUUAAACACCUUUGUCACCAAAUACGCCCAGAUGCUGCUCUACUGCUGCCUGACUGAAUUUGACACUGAGACAGAAGCACAAGCCGACGGUAAAACGCAGUGAGCUGCAGACAAUCCGUCGCUCAUCAGCUUUCUGCCUGAGGCCUCAGCCUUGUCCAAGGCCUUGCAUGGAAAGAGUGGCGAGGCGCAGGCCCGCAACAUUUGUGAGGAUUACUUCUCCAAGGUCAAGUUAAAAAAGGCCUGACAUCUCAAAUGACUCACCAUGAAGGAGCAGGCACUUGAGAAACUGUUGCUUUCUUCUACAAAUGGGAUGCCCCUUUCUACAGAGAUCAAGGAAUAUCUUUUAUGAGGAUUUCAAAAAACUAUGGAAGAAAUAUGGAGCUCCUUUAACAUUUAAUUUUUUAGACUAGAAGACGUAACUUGCUUUCUGCCUGACAUUGUUUAAAACAAAUAUAUCAAAUGAUGAUUAUGUGGCUGGGAUUCAAUCAUCCUAUCUAGGAUCUAAUAUUUAAGUUUAAUAAGGUAUCCAUAUGUACCUUACUAUAUGCAAAUGUAAAACAAAAAAAACUAUUUAUAACUACUAUCUAACCAAUA
This is an RNA transcript of Sander lucioperca (pikeperch), 2299 nucleotides long. It is a transcript of the gene named Y+L amino acid transporter 2-like, with no coding region annotated. NCBI's taxonomy places the organism in Eukaryota, Metazoa, Chordata, Actinopteri, Perciformes, Percidae. The transcript is spliced from 11 exons. The record is from RefSeq and is a predicted model, not a curated record.